This 350-nucleotide ribosomal RNA is filed under the name Escherichia coli. Its description in RNAcentral is "partial 23S ribosomal RNA". It matches the Rfam family "Bacterial large subunit ribosomal RNA", at positions 1038 to 1386 of the family's 2925-position model. Lineage: Bacteria; Pseudomonadati; Pseudomonadota; Gammaproteobacteria; Enterobacterales; Enterobacteriaceae. The record is from RNAcentral.
GCUAAGGUCCCAAAGUCAUGGUUAAGUGGGAAACGAUGUGGGAAGGCCCAGACAGCCAGGAUGUUGGCUUAGAAGCAGCCAUCAUUUAAAGAAAGCGUAAUAGCUCACUGGUCGAGUCGGCCUGCGCGGAAGAUGUAACGGGGCUAAACCAUGCACCGAAGCUGCGGCAGCGACGUUUAUGCGUUGUUGGGUAGGGGAGCGUUCUGUAAGCCUGCGAAGGUGUACUGUGAGGUAUGCUGGAGGUAUCAGAAGUGCGAAUGCUGACAUAAGUAACGAUAAAGCGGGUGAAAAGCCCGCUCGCCGGAAGACCAAGGGUUCCUGUCCAACGUUAAUCGGGGCAGGGUGAGUCG